RNAcentral lists this ribosomal RNA (435 nucleotides) under Salmonella enterica subsp. enterica serovar Virchow. RNAcentral describes it as "bacterial SSU rRNA". It matches the Rfam family "Bacterial small subunit ribosomal RNA", at positions 1110 to 1533 of the family's 1533-position model. The record is from RNAcentral. Lineage: Bacteria; Pseudomonadati; Pseudomonadota; Gammaproteobacteria; Enterobacterales; Enterobacteriaceae. RNAcentral also lists the same sequence under 3 other names.
CUUUGUUGCCAGCGAUUAGGUCGGGAACUCAAAGGAGACUGCCAGUGAUAAACUGGAGGAAGGUGGGGAUGACGUCAAGUCAUCAUGGCCCUUACGACCAGGGCUACACACGUGCUACAAUGGCGCAUACAAAGAGAAGCGACCUCGCGAGAGCAAGCGGACCUCAUAAAGUGCGUCGUAGUCCGGAUUGGAGUCUGCAACUCGACUCCAUGAAGUCGGAAUCGCUAGUAAUCGUGGAUCAGAAUGCCACGGUGAAUACGUUCCCGGGCCUUGUACACACCGCCCGUCACACCAUGGGAGUGGGUUGCAAAAGAAGUAGGUAGCUUAACCUUCGGGAGGGCGCUUACCACUUUGUGAUUCAUGACUGGGGUGAAGUCGUAACAAGGUAACCGUAGGGGAACCUGCGGUUGGAUCACCUCCUUACCUUAAAGAAGC